UCCACGUAGGAAAGUUGGAGUGGCAGCACAAAGAGGUUUGUUUCCCUCCCCAAAAAAUUGCCGCACCUUUCGUUUUUUUUCUUGAUGUUAUUCGGUAGAAGCUGGUGACGGAGAAUUAGAGAGAUUAUCCAAUCCAGUAUCCAUUGAUCCCGAGAUCUAGCUUCACUCUGCGAAACGAUCACCGUUUCAUCUCCAUCUAUCUAUCGCUUUCAAAUCUGGAAAUAAUAAAGGACGAUCCUGCACACGCCACACACACCAAAAAUGGAGGACACGGGAGCAAACACUACAACACCACAUUGCAUAAAAUCACGCUCACCUGUAACGUUUGCUAUUAACGGUAUGUCGGUAUCACAUUCAAAUUAGAAUGCAAACAAUGCGCUUUACAUCAGGACAAAUUUGAGCAUAAAUUUGAUCCCAUGUGAAGUUGUACUACCUUUGUCUUGACAUAAAAAGUAGGUGACUUUCAUGCAUUCGUUUUUUAUGUGAAUCUCAAGCAGCUUUGUUUGUUU
Molecule: long non-coding RNA, 509 nt
Organism: Glycine soja
Lineage: Eukaryota; Viridiplantae; Streptophyta; Magnoliopsida; Fabales; Fabaceae
Exons: 2
Source: RefSeq, a predicted model, not a curated record